RNAcentral lists this ribosomal RNA (251 nucleotides) under uncultured bacterium. Its description in RNAcentral is "partial 16S ribosomal RNA". It matches the Rfam family "Bacterial small subunit ribosomal RNA", at positions 525 to 775 of the family's 1533-position model. The record is from RNAcentral.
ACGUAUGGAGCAAGCGUUAUCCGGAUUUACUGGGUGUAAAGGGAGCGUAGGCGGUCCUGCAAGUCUGAUGUGAAAACCCGGGGCUCAACCCAGGGACUGCAUUGGAAACUGUAGGACUAGAGUGUCGGAGGGGUAAGUGGAAUUCCUAGUGUAGCGGUGAAAUGCGUAGAUAUUAGGAGGAACACCAGUGGCGAAGGCGGCUUACUGGACGACCACUGACGCUGAGGCUCGAAAGCGUGGGGAGCAAACAG